Molecule: ribosomal RNA, 828 nt
Filed under: uncultured soil archaeon
Lineage: Archaea
Description: bacterial SSU rRNA
Rfam family: Archaeal small subunit ribosomal RNA
Source: RNAcentral
UCGGUGUUCGCCUAAGCCAUGCGAGUCAUAUGUUCUUCGUGAACAUGGCGUACUGCUCAGUAACACGUGGAUAACCUGCCCUUGGGUCCGGCAUAACCCCGGGAAACUGGGGAUAAUUCCGGAUAACGCACAUAUGCUGGAAUGCUUUAUGCGUCAAAUGGAUUCGUCCGCCCAAGGAUGGGUCUGCGGCCUAUCAGGUAGUAGUGGGUGUAAUGUACCUACUAGCCUACGACGGGUACGGGUUGUGAGAGCAAGAGCCCGGAGAUGGAUUCUGAGACAUGAAUCCAGGCCCUACGGGGCGCAGCAGGCGCGAAAACUUUACAAUGCGGGAAACCGUGAUAAGGGGACACCGAGUGCCAGCAUCAUAUGCUGGCUGUCCGGGUGUGUAAAAUACACCUGUUAGCAAGGGCCGGGCAAGACCGGUGCCAGCCGCCGCGGUAACACCGGCGGCCCGAGUGGUGAUCGUGAUUAUUGGGUCUAAAGGGUCCGUAGCCGGUUUGGUCAGUCCUCCGGGAAAUCUGACGGCUUAACCGUUAGGCUUUCGGGGGAUACUGCCAUACUUGGAACCGGGAGAGGUAAGAGGUACUACAGGGGUAGGAGUGAAAUCUUGUAAUCCCUGUGGGACCACCUGUGGCGAAGGCGUCUUACCAGAACGGGUUCUACGGUGAGGGACGAAAGCUGGGGGCACGAACCGGAUUAGAUACCCGGGUAGUCCCAGCCGUAAACGAUGCUCGCUAAGUUGUCACGCAUGGCGCGACCGUCUCUGGUUGCCGCAGGGAUGCCGUGAAGCGAGCCACCUGGUUAAGUACGGUCGUCAAGGAUGAAACU